RNAcentral lists this ribosomal RNA (400 nucleotides) under uncultured bacterium. RNAcentral's name for it is "bacterial SSU rRNA". It matches the Rfam family "Bacterial small subunit ribosomal RNA", at positions 359 to 775 of the family's 1533-position model. The record is from RNAcentral.
GAAUCUUGCGCAAUGGGCGAAAGCCUGACGCAGCAACGCCGCGUGCGGGAAGACGGCCUUAGGGUUGUAAACCGCUUUCAGCAGGGACGAAACUGACGGUACCUGCAGAAGAAGCUCCGGCUAACUACGUGCCAGCAGCCGCGGUAAUACGUAGGGAGCGAGCGUUGUCCGGAUUUAUUGGGCGUAAAGAGCUCGUAGGCGGUUUGGUAAGUCGGGUGUGAAAGCUCCGGGCUCAACUCGGAGAGGUCACUCGAUACUGCCAUGACUUGAGUCCGGUAGGGGGGUGUGGAAUUCCCAGUGUAGCGGUGAAAUGCGCAGAUAUUGGGAGGAACACCAAUGGCGAAGGCAGCACCCUGGGCCGGUACUGACGCUGAGGAGCGAAAGCGUGGGGAGCAAACAG